GCUUGGAUAACUCACUUGGUAGAGCAUGAGAUUCUUAAUCUCAGGGUUGUGGGUUUGAGUCCCACAUUGGGUG
This is a non-coding RNA of Podarcis lilfordi (Lilford's wall lizard), 73 nucleotides long. The record is from the annotation of a GenBank genome assembly. NCBI's taxonomy places the organism in Eukaryota, Metazoa, Chordata, Lepidosauria, Squamata, Lacertidae.